Molecule: transfer RNA, 93 nt
Filed under: Geovibrio thiophilus
Lineage: Bacteria; Pseudomonadati; Deferribacterota; Deferribacteres; Deferribacterales; Geovibrionaceae
Rfam family: tRNA
About the family: Transfer RNA (tRNA) molecules are approximately 80 nucleotides in length. Their secondary structure includes four short double-helical elements and three loops (D, anti-codon, and T loops). Further hydrogen bonds mediate the characteristic L-shaped molecular structure. tRNAs have two regions of fundamental functional importance: the anti-codon, which is responsible for specific mRNA codon recognition, and the 3' end, to which the tRNAs corresponding amino acid is attached (by aminoacyl-tRNA synthetases). tRNAs cope with the degeneracy of the genetic code in two manners: having more than one tRNA (with a specific anti-codon) for a particular amino acid; and 'wobble' base-pairing, i.e. permitting non-standard base-pairing at the 3rd anti-codon position.
Source: Rfam by way of RNAcentral
GGAGUGGUGGCCGAGUUAGGUCGAAGGCGCUCGCCUGCUAAGCGAGUGUACGGUCUUUAUACCGUACCGAGGGUUCAAAUCCCUCCCCCUCCG